AGACAAAUUUCUGCAUUAACAGAUGCGCCCAGCAAAAAGAAUUACCAUCAUCUGCAAAUACACACAAAAUUGCAAAUCUGAUUGUUCCACAUAUCAUUUAUAGAGUCAUAUUUCUUUUUGAGUAUGCACUAAAAAGCAACAAUGAAACAAAUAAACUCAAGAACUCUAUUACCCAUGAUUUUAUUUAUUACAGCCUAAUUCAUUGUCUAAGCAAAUAAUUUCCAUAAUAUCCCCUACCUCUUUAUGUAAAAUCACAGCAAACAAUUUUAGCUUCCUAUUCCGUUCAUCAAUACAUAAAUUUGAUAUCAAAAACUACCUUGUUACAUGUAGCCAGGGUAGCCCAAUAUUUUAAUAACGAGCACUCAAGACCAGUUCUAAGCAAGCUCCCCAGGAAGUUGGGAUAAUUAGAGGGACUGAAUGGAGGGAUGCAGCGAGUGUCCCUGCACAGCAUCAGGUCAGCACCAGACACAAAUUAAAGCCUAAGACGAAAGAAAGAGUUCAAUAUCACAACAUGUGAACCAGAAAAUCUUGAGAAUCAUUUAAAUACUCUCACAUUCAAUCUUCAUCCAUUUUACAUUUAUUCCUAAAAGAAAUGAUAUGUAUAUUAAGUUCUAACGCUACUCAAAAUUCAGGAAUGUAUGCUCCAUUUUUAAGACUACUCACUCUAUAAUGUUUAAAUGUAUUUAUUUUGCAUAAUAGAAGCUAAGCAUUCAAUAUGAAAAAGAGUAAACUCUAGUUCUAAAAGGAGUCUAUUCUUUUUAAAUGAUGAAAGGAUUAGUAUCUUUUUAAAUGACUUUUCCUAAUUUCCUAAUGGUCUUCUAGUUUCAGAAACUUCCAGAUUACAAUUAUUUUGCAAGACAGAUAUAUAAAACUGGAACACAAACAUACACCUAAACAUUUGACCCACUCCUCCACCAAAAAAAAAAAAAAAAAAGUCAAAGGUGGCAAAUACCUGAGUAUUUCUGUUAUAGUCUUCAGUUAUGAAAUAAUUUUUAAAUACUUUGUUUUAAAUGAGAUCUUAAAAAAACAAAAAAGCAGUCUUUUAAAAAGCUAAGAAUUCUCUUUGUCAAUUCAAUAAAUAUUUUCCACUUUAGUAAAAAAUUAUAUUGAGUAUUGAAAGGUAAAAGAUCAGGUAAACGCCCAAGGGAUUUUCAGGUCGGUAUCUUACUAUAAAAUAUCCAAAUAUAUACAUUUGCUAAUUAUUUAAUAAUACCAAUUGCAGGGAAAAGCAGCCCUGCUUGCAAAGGGCUUCUAAAUAUCCCUGUGUUCAAAGCAAGGCCUUCCUCGUGGUUAUCGUUGCCUGGUACGCCCCCAACCUUGUCAAGUUGCUCUUCUGCCCUCAGACCAGGAUGCCCCUCCUCUAUUGCCCUAUUGCCCUCUGUCCACUUCAGAUCCUGUUACUGUCAAUUUUGUUGUUGUAAUUGUGAUUGUAGUUUUUUUCUGUAAGAAAGAAAUUGAGUACUUCACAAUCCUUUAAAAAGAAUACAUUUAAGUCUUUGUUUAAACUUAAAUCCACAUUUGUUUUAUUGUCCUCAGAUACUACCUAUUAUAGAAGAUGUACUUCAAGUUUCACAUCUACCACUGGAUCUCUCCCAAGUACUUCAAUUUAGGAUGAAUCUCCUUUAAUCUAAACUCUGAGAGUAGUUAGUGCAAAUUUUAGCAUAUAAUCUCAUCUACCCAACAAUCUCAUUUUAACUGCUUUGCACACUGUUACAAUUUCUCCUCCACCAGAUCAUAAGGUUAUGCCUUGAAUUCUUUUUUUAAUCUCCCCUAGCCCAAUGUUAUGUGAUUAAAGCUAUUUACUCAUAGAUACACUUAGAUAGCAGCUUGCUUAGUAACUUUCAUUAUCAAAUGUUAAAAGCCAUUGUCCUUGAAGUACAAAAAAGUUGCAACUUUUAUUACCUUUUUUUCAUUAUAUUUGAGGUAAAAAUCUACACCUACAUAAAGUCUUCUUAAUCUUGGCAAUACAUAUGGCAACUGGUGGUUUAUGGAGGAAAAGAAAUGAAAAGAUACACAUAGGCACAUGUGUUUAUGUGUCCAAAAUUUCUAUAAUAAACAUGCAUUCAAAAGUAAAAAGGAGAGAGAGAAUCCUAAUAGUAUUGACAUUUUUACUUACAGUCUUUUCUCUAAAUACACUUUUAUAAUGAUACUGCAUACAUAAUUUACACCCUUUUGUUUUUUAAUAGCAUAAUAGACAUUUUUCCUAUUUUAUCACAAACGUUUUGUAAACGUACCAAGAACUAGCUCAGAGCCUAAUGUAUUUUACUGGGUGAUUAAGAUUGCUCCAGUUAAAAAAAAAGACUGCUCCAAUAAACAUUUGAAUAAAUUAUGCAUUAAAAGCAGGUCAAAACUGCUAUGGACUUUACAAAGAAGGACUAAACACAAAUUGUUUAUAAAGGAUUGGUUGGCUUCUUUUCCUCCCUUUGCAGGAACAAAUCUUCCUUCAGGUGGCAGGUACAUUCAAGUCUCAACAAGCCCACAGUCUAGCCCAGGGUCGGUAGUAGCAAAAAGCCAUGCAAAAGAAAACAUUAGAAUUCUCUGCUGCCUUAGUUAAGGAGACACUUAAGAGUCAACCUGGAAAGAACAAUCUAACAAACUUUUGAAACUCUAUUUCAAUUUUGUUGUCAUUGUUGUAUGAAAUGUGUGAGGUGUUUUCUUUGGCUUAAUAAUACAAAAAACAAUAUUCAAGCAAUGCAGAUGCUAUUCUGCAGAAUGACUUAAUAUUGCAUAGGCUGACUAGAUAUGUUUGUUUCAAAAAUAUCAACAUCUUGAAAAAUAUAAAUUCCUUUUUAUAUAUUUUAAUGGUAAAGGAAAUAUAUAACAACCAUGGAAAGUUUAAACUGAGGUAAACUAAUCAAUUAAGCAGGAUUUGCUGGUUAUAUGGUUUCAAAAAGAAAAGUAAAGCAUUUUAAGUACUAACACUAAGUAUAUACACUAAGUAUAGUUUGUCUUCAUAAACUUCUCUGUUCUCAGAAAACCAAUAGAGAUUUUUAAAGCAGAUUAUUAGUUUUCCCAACAAGCAUUUAGUUUUAUAUUUUGAAUUAUUUUAUUCUUCAGAGAAAAAUUACUUGUAUCAGCUUAUCACCUGCAUGAGCCUAAUUUCCAAAUAACAAGCUAGGAGAACAACAGAUGUGUUUUUCAUCUUACAGGACUGAGAAAAAUCAUCUUCUUUAUCAACUUUUAAAAAAUAAAUCAAACUUUUUUUUUUUUUUCCGUCUGGCAGCUGCCAUCAGGUAAGCCAAGAUGGGUGCAUACAAGUACAUCCAGGAGCUAUGGAGAAAGAAGCAGCCCGACGUCAUGCACUUUCUUCUGAGGAUCCGCUUUCUUCUGAGGGUUCGCUGCUGGCAGUACCGCCAGCUCUCUGCUCUCCACAGGGCUCCUCGCCCCGCCCGGCCUGAUAAAGCACGCCGACUGGACUACAAGACCAAGCGAGGUUACGUUAUAUACAGGAUUCGUGUUCGCCAGUGGUGGCCGAAAACGCCCAGUUCCUAAGGGUGCGACUUAUGGCAAGCCUGUCCAUCAUGGUGUUAACCAGCUAAGGUUUGCUCCAAGCCUUCAGUCCCUUGCAGAGGAGGGAGCUGGACGCCACUGUAGGGCUCUGAGAGUCCUGAAUUCUUACUGGGUUGGUGAAGAUUCCACAUACACAUUUUUUGAGGUUAUCCUCAUUGAUCCAUUCCAUAAAGCUAACAGAAGAAAUCCUGACACCUAAUGGAUCACCAAACCAGUCCACAGCACAGGGAGAUGCGUGGGCUGACGUCUGCAGGCUGACAGCCCUGGCCUUGGAAAGGGCCAUAAGUUUCACCACACUAUUGGUGGUUCUCACCGGACAGCCUGGAGAAGGCGCAAUACUACCCUGCUCCACCGUUACCGAUAAUAUAAGUAAAGUUUGUAAAAUUCAUACCUAAUAAACAAUUUGA
Cercocebus atys (sooty mangabey) is the source of this 3917-nucleotide RNA transcript. It is a transcript of the gene named 60S ribosomal protein L15 pseudogene, with no coding region annotated. The record is from RefSeq and is a predicted model, not a curated record. NCBI's taxonomy places the organism in Eukaryota, Metazoa, Chordata, Mammalia, Primates, Cercopithecidae. The transcript has a single exon.